CUCUUAUCCAGAGUCGGUGGAGGGACAGGCCCGAUGAAACCCGGCAACCGUCUUCAGACAUGGUGCUAACCUGACGCAAGAGGAAUCUCUUGGACGAUAAGAG
Non-coding RNA from Salimicrobium flavidum, 103 nucleotides. Lineage: Bacteria; Bacillati; Bacillota; Bacilli; Caryophanales; Bacillaceae. The record is from Rfam.